This 468-nucleotide ribosomal RNA is filed under the name uncultured bacterium. RNAcentral describes it as "partial 16S ribosomal RNA". It matches the Rfam family "Bacterial small subunit ribosomal RNA", at positions 28 to 507 of the family's 1533-position model. The record is from RNAcentral.
GACGAACGCUGGCGGCGUGCUUAACUCAUGCAAGUCGAACGGAAAGGCCCUGCUUUUGUGGGGUGCUCGAGUGGCGAACGGGUGAGUAACACGUGAGUAACCUGCCCUUGACUUUGGGAUAACUUCAGGAAACUGGGGCUAAUACCGGAUAGGAGCUCCUGCUGCAUGGUGGGGGUUGGAAAGUUUCGGCGGUUGGGGAUGGACUCGCGGCUUAUCAGCUUGUUGGUGGGGUAGUGGCUUACCAAGGCUUUGACGGGUAGCCGGCCUGAGAGGGUGACCGGCCACAUUGGGACUGAGAUACGGCCCAGACUCCUACGGGAGGCAGCAGUGGGGAAUAUUGCACAAUGGGCGGAAGCCGGAUGCAGCAACGCCGCGUGCGGGAUGACGGCCUUCGGGUUGUAAACCGCUUUCGCCUGUGACGAAGCGUGAGUGACGGUAAUGGGUAAAGAAGCACCGACUAACUACGUG